UCCCCACGCCGCCGCAGGCUGGCUGCAGGCUCCCGCACCCUCCCCCGCACGCCUGCCCAGCCUCCGGCCGAACCCCCGACCUCCUCGGCCCUGCCACCGAAACUUGCGCAUGCCACCAACGCACUCCAUCUGACCGGUGGCAACUUUUACCUUCCCAUCUGGAAAGCCGAUGGGGGAGGGGGCCCUGCACGAAGUCCCGGAGCCGGGGCGCACGCAGGCCCAGGAACGCACGGCUCUGCCGGCCCGGCCCGCGCCUCCACGUCCCGCAGCUGCUCCGACGCUCGGCCCCAGGAACUCGCCACUGUGCAGUCCCGUCCCCGCCGCUCCACCCACCCACUCUCUGGGAUUCUCCCUGCCCCAUCAGGCAGAGCUGCCCGCGGAACCCGUCGGCACCCACCUUCCCCUAGCACACCGCCUCCAGCCAGCAGCCUCGACUCCGCCCCGCACCCCCAGCCCCAGCGGCGUCCGGACCCCGACGGUCCCCUCCCCCACCUACCGCACCUGAACCGCGGUUGCGCCCGUGCAACAGGUCUGGAAAGUGCCUUCCCCAGCUCGCCGCCCCCCACCCCCCCUACGACCCCAGAGAGCCUGGGCGGAGGUGCAGUGGGCUGCGCUCCCCGGCUGGCGAGGCGCGGGGUGCCCGGCUGCGCCCAGGGCUGCGGGCGGUGGUCGCGCCCCGGCCUCCCCGAGGCCGACCGCCCUUGCGCGCGCCGCGGGCUCCUCAGCCUGUCCCUCCGGCGCCGGCCGCCAGGCACUCCGGGGCCGGCUCCCCCCUCGCGCUCCGCUCCGCUCCCUUCCAUCUUGACUUUUGCCGACGUGGAAAUUUUGGGUUUGGAGACGACCUGCGCUCUUAUUGGCUGCCGGCGAGCGGAGUCGGAGGUCACGGCUGCUCUCGCUAUUCCGCGCCAAGGGGAGCCGCACAGCGGCUCGUGUCAAGUCAGCAGGUUCCCUCCGCCUCCCCCGGGGUCACGUGCGCCGCGGGCGGGCCCGGGAGACGCCUCCUUAUGCAAAUAG
RNAcentral lists this long non-coding RNA (1014 nucleotides) under Oryctolagus cuniculus (rabbit). RNAcentral describes it as "lncRNA (ENSOCUG00000038930.1)". Lineage: Eukaryota; Metazoa; Chordata; Mammalia; Lagomorpha; Leporidae. The record is from RNAcentral.